This is a long non-coding RNA of Austrofundulus limnaeus, 132 nucleotides long. RefSeq lists it as uncharacterized. The transcript has 3 exons. The record is from RefSeq and is a predicted model, not a curated record. Lineage: Eukaryota; Metazoa; Chordata; Actinopteri; Cyprinodontiformes; Rivulidae.
UAAGGUUCUACGUGCCAGCAUCUAUUUACACAUAGUGUCUGUGUUUGAAGUAAGCAGAUUCAGCACUGAGGACCACAUGAAAGCUUUGUCUAAAGACAGACUGAAGCGUUGGGCUCCUGAACACAUCAGCAG